Molecule: non-coding RNA, 78 nt
Organism: Schistosoma haematobium
Lineage: Eukaryota; Metazoa; Platyhelminthes; Trematoda; Strigeidida; Schistosomatidae
Source: Rfam
AGCCCUCUAUUUCUGUGUUGAGAUUUCAUCAUACACCAGACCUCAAGGGCUGAUGAUACUCCUAAGAUAAGUGAAGCG